AAUCCAAUUGUCAGAUUGUUGUCAUGUGAACCGUGUGAACCGCAAAAAGUGAUAUCUGCUUUAGGUACAUACUGAAAAACAUUAUCAGAAUCCGAAGUUAAAAUAGGUUUAGACAAUCUUGAUGUUCGAAAACGUUUACUUACUGUUAUUAAUAAAUAUCGCGAGUGCUUGACAAUUGAUAAUUCUGAAUUGGGUGUUGCGAAAGCUACUGAAGUGCAAAUACAGUUAGAAAAUGAUAAACCGUUUAUGUAUAUGCAGUACCGAAUGAGUUCUGGGGAGAAAGAAAAAGUGAACGAUAUUGUUAGUGAUCUAUUGCAGUCGAAUAUAAUUCGUGAUUCCCAAUCUAACUAUGCGUCACUUGUGUUGUUGGUUCGUAAGAAAAAUGGUGAAUACCGCAUGUGCGUGGAUUUUCGUAAACUUAAUUCCAUGACUGUGAAAGAGCGUUACCCACUACCCCUGAUUGAUGACCAAAUGUAUAAAUAUACACAGGGUGCUAAAUAUUUUACGACACUGGACUUGGCAUCUAGUUACCAUCAGAUUCCCGUUGCAGAAUCUUCAAAACGUCUCACUUCAUUUGUUACACCGACAGGUCACGAGGCUUACGUAACUAGAGAUUUGUCUGAAAUUCCCACAGAACUUCGUCAGCUUCCACUCUCUGAUGACGUAAGGAUUGUGGGAGGGAAUGAAGCUGCACCAAAUUCUUUACCAUAUCAAGUUGCUUUGAACCUUAUUUUCGAGUCAGGGAGAAGUUUCUGUGGAGGAUCUCUUAUUACCAGAAGAUACGUGUUAACAGCUGCUCAUUGUUUGGAUGACGGAGUAAUAUCGUUGGAAGUGUUAUUGGGGACGCAUAACAUUCGACGAAAUGAAACUACCCAACAAAGCAUUUCAACCUCCAAUUUCACAUUACAUGAAGAGUAUAAGAAUAACAGAAUGAAAUAUGACAUAGCCACGGUUUAUCUUCCAACACCGGCUAUUCUCAAUCAAUUCUUCUGUCUCUCCAACGAUUGUUUGAUACUUAUAUAAUGGGAAUCAUUGAAGAAGUGAAAUAGUCAUGUUUUGGACCUAUUCUGCUCCGUGUUAAUAUACCUACAGUAGUAUUAUUUUAUUCGUCCCAACAUUCUUGGUUUAAGUCAAAAGACAUCUUUGGUGUAACCAUACAGAGAAGAUGUAGUGAAAACGAAACGUAAGGUCUUGUAUAAAUGAGACGUUCUCGUUCAGGUUACGUGAUGGACAGGAUAAAAUAAUUCUACUAGUACGUUCAACUGAUUGCGCUUCCCAGUAGAGCUGACGCUUCGAACAGUUUUGUGGGAUCUGAGGCUAUAGCAAGUGGUUGGGGAUACGAU
RNAcentral lists this unclassified non-coding RNA (1343 nucleotides) under Agrilus planipennis (emerald ash borer). RNAcentral's name for it is "brachyurin-like, transcript variant X2". Lineage: Eukaryota; Metazoa; Arthropoda; Insecta; Coleoptera; Buprestidae. The record is from RNAcentral.